GGCGCCAUCGUCUAUCGGUUAGGACAAUGCCCUUUCAAGGCAUAAAGACGGGUUCGAUUCCCGUUGGCGCUACCA
RNAcentral lists this transfer RNA (75 nucleotides) under Vulcanimicrobiaceae bacterium. RNAcentral describes it as "tRNA-Glu". It matches the Rfam family "tRNA". Rfam says of the family: Transfer RNA (tRNA) molecules are approximately 80 nucleotides in length. Lineage: Bacteria; Bacillati; Vulcanimicrobiota; Vulcanimicrobiia; Vulcanimicrobiales; Vulcanimicrobiaceae. The record is from RNAcentral.